This 433-nucleotide ribosomal RNA is filed under the name uncultured bacterium. RNAcentral's name for it is "partial 16S ribosomal RNA". It matches the Rfam family "Bacterial small subunit ribosomal RNA", at positions 28 to 507 of the family's 1533-position model. The record is from RNAcentral.
GACGAACGCUGGCGGCGUGCCUAACACAUGCAAGUCGAACGAGACGUCCGGGUCUAGUGCCGCACGGCUACGUACCAAGUGGGAAGUUGCCCUUGGGUUAGGUAUAACUCACCGUAGGGUAUGCUAAGACCAGUGAGUGUCAUAGGGGCAAUGAUCUACCGAGAUUGGGUGGGCGCGAGUUGGUUUUGCUGGGUGGUAGAGGAAUAGCCUACCAAGGAGACGAGCCAUAGCUGGUCUGAGAGGAUGCUCAGCCACGCUGGGACUGAGGCACGGCCCAGACUCCGACGGAAGGGAGCAGUGGAGAAUAUAGUACGAUGGACGCAGGCGUGAUCCAGCCAUGCCGGGUGAGUGAUGAAGGCCGUAGGGUUGUAAAGCUCUUUUACCCAGGGUGAUAAUGACGGUACCGGGAGAAUAAGCUCCGGCUAACUCCGUG